This 23-nucleotide non-coding RNA is filed under the name Arabidopsis thaliana (thale cress). Lineage: Eukaryota; Viridiplantae; Streptophyta; Magnoliopsida; Brassicales; Brassicaceae. The record is from RNAcentral.
GCCGCAACCACCACCUGGAUUUG